Molecule: ribosomal RNA, 249 nt
Filed under: uncultured bacterium
Lineage: Bacteria
Description: partial 16S ribosomal RNA
Rfam family: Bacterial small subunit ribosomal RNA
Source: RNAcentral
CGUAGGAAAUCUACCUUUGAGACUGGAAUAACAAUUAGAAAUGAUUGCUAAUGCCGGAUGAUAUAUAAUAUGAUACGUCAUAAUAUAUUAAAAGGGAGCCUUUAAAGCUCUGCUUAAAGAUGAGCCUGCGACGUAUUAGCUAGUUGGUGGGGUAAGGGCCUACCAAGGCGACGAUGCGUAGCCGACCUGAGAGGGUGAUCGGCCACACUGGGACUGAGACACGGCCCAGACUCCUACGGAAGGCAGCAG